AGUGAACGCUGGCGGUAGGCCUAACACAUGCAAGUCGAACGGCAGCACAGUAAGAGCUUGCUCUUACGGGUGGCGAGUGGCGGACGGGUGAGGAAUACAUCGGAAUCUACUUUUUCGUGGGGGAUAGCGUAGGGAAACUUACGCUAAUACCGCAUACGACCUACGGGUGAAAGCAGGGGAUCUUCGGACCUUGCGCGAUUGAAUGAGCCGAUGUCGGAUUAGCUAGUUGGCGGGGUAAAGGCCCACCAAGGCGACGAUCCGUAGCUGGUCUGAGAGGAUGAUCAGCCACACUGGAACUGAGACACGGUCCAGACUCCUACGGGAGGCAGCAGUGGGGAAUAUUGGACAAUGGGCGCAAGCCUGAUCCAGCCAUACCGCGUGGGUGAAGAAGGCCUUCGGGUUGUAAAGCCCUUUGUUGGGAAAGAAAAGCAGCAGGUUAAUACCCCGCUGUUCUGACGGUACCCAAAGAAUAAGCACCGGCUAACUUCGUG
Molecule: ribosomal RNA, 491 nt
Filed under: uncultured bacterium
Lineage: Bacteria
Description: partial 16S ribosomal RNA
Rfam family: Bacterial small subunit ribosomal RNA
Source: RNAcentral